This 74-nucleotide transfer RNA is filed under the name bacterium. RNAcentral describes it as "tRNA-Met". It matches the Rfam family "tRNA". From Rfam's summary of the family: Transfer RNA (tRNA) molecules are approximately 80 nucleotides in length. Their secondary structure includes four short double-helical elements and three loops (D, anti-codon, and T loops). The record is from RNAcentral. RNAcentral also lists the same sequence under 1 other name.
CGCGGGAUGGAGGAAUGGCACCUCACCGGGCUCAUAAUCCGGGGGUCCUGGUUCGAGUCCAGGUCCCGCAACCA